GGUGACCGUCGAGGUGACCUGCACCUGGCUCCAUGGCGGAACCGGCCGGCACGGAUUAUUCCCCUCUCGGGAGAGGUCUGCAGCCGGGCCUCAGUGCUUCAGUUCGUGGCCUGGCAUUUUGUGUCAGUGUUUUUUAACCUUUGGACCCUAGUUCAACCGACUCCGAGACCUAGGGGACAGAUCUUAAGUUUUACAAUAACCCAGGGGUCAGACAGGGUCUGAUCUAGCCUGUGGGGCAAGUACGGGGAAGACACGGGACCUCUUGGAGGGGGUCAGUAGGCUUGUAGGGGGAAAGACGCACACAGAGACUAAAGGACGAGAUGGAGCAAGGUUCAACCCCCUAGCUGAGUGUUGGCAGUGUCGGGAUUUUAACGAAGACAUUGGUGCUUAUUAUGGUGAGGGGACUCAGGACAGUUUAGGGGAAGAGAGUGGCAUUUGAGUCCUAACUCGUAAGGAAGACUGGGUAGGACUACUUGAAAAUAACUUUUAAAAAUUAAUUAUAAAGCUGGUAAAAAUAGGAAAACAUCUAUGGCCCCACUGUCCAAAGACGACUUUUAACUUCUUGGAGAAUAUCCUUUCAGAUAGUUGUCUUUGUAAAUGUAUACUUUUAAUGUUUUUUCGUUUGCCUUUUUAAAAUAAAUUUUUUGGGGGACAGGGUCUUGCUCUGUUACCCAGGCUGUAGUGCAGUAGAACGAUUAUAGCUCAUUGCAACCCGGACGUCCUGGGUUCAAGCUAUCCUCACCUCUCAGCCUCUCGACUGGCUAGGACCACAGCCUCGAGCCAUCAUGUCUGGCUAAUUUUUACGUUUUUUUGUAGAGAUGGGGGUCUCGCUGUGUUGUCCAGGCUGGUCUUAAACUCCUUGCUUCAACAGAUCCUCCCACUCCAGCCUCCCAAAAUGUGAUUACAGGCUGAGUCACCACGCCUAGCAUGGUUUUUUUUGUUUUGUUUGUUUUGUAAGCAAAAUUGACAUACAUACUGGAGGUACAAUUCUGUAGCUGGCCUUCUUUACAGAGUUUAGAAUAAAUGUCUUUCCAUGUCAAGUUUUCACUUACAUCCUUUGUAGUAGUUGCAAAAUAUUCCAUUUUAUAGCUGUAUCUUAAUUGUGGAUUAAGGUUGGAGUGCAGUGGCACUAUCAUGGCUUAGUCCAGCCUCAGCCUUCUAGGUUCAAGCGAUCUUCCCACCUCAGCCUCCCAAGAAGCUGGGACUACAGGGACCCGCCACCCCACCUAGCUAAUUAAAAAAAAAAUUGUAGAGAUGGAGUCUCAGUGUGUAGCCCAGUCUCAAGUGACCCUCCCUCGUUGGCUUCCCAAAGCGCUGAGAUUGCAGCUCCCAAGGAGGCAGCAGAAACUGGGGUAAUCACAACGGUCAACAGCAGCAAAGGCAGCACUUUCUGAUUUACUUGACUGCUAUGGAUGCCACCUCUCUCCACGCCUCAGUUUAAUAUCUGACCUGAAAGCCUCUGAAGUUCACUCCUUCGGCCCCACUCCCUUCCUGCUGCCUUUGGGCUCUCCUCAUGUGACUCUGCCUGUUGAAACUGUCUGCUAGCUGGCCCAGCAUCUCCAGGCAUGGCCUCACUCAUCCACCUCUCCCUUGCUGAAGGUCUCCUCAUGUAACACACGAUUCCUUUAGAUGGUCCUUCAUCACCAGCAAGAUGAAACCUAAAUUCAUUGGCAUGGUAGACAAAACUCUAGCCUUGCCUCCCAGAGGCCAGUCUCUGUCUCCGCCACUCCCCAGGUGGACUGCAUUGUGUUUCUGCUGCCAUAAACAUAAUUUAUUCUGACUGGAACAUCUUCUGUGCAUGUCUGCAGAGUGCACUUCACUCCCCCUGCAGUUCAAGCAUCCUUCCUCCACAAAGCCUUUUCUUUUGAUCACUGCAGGACCUGUAAAAGCUAUCCUGGGAUAGCCUGUAUUUACUGGACUGAAAUGAUCUGUUUGCCUAUCAAUUUCCCCAAAUGAUAUAUGGCAAGGAGUAGUUGAAUCUAAGAGCAGAUCUCAAAGCCUAUGUCCUUUCCAUUGCCUUGUACCCUGCUCCCCUCAAGAAUACCUAUUUUUUGGGGUUGGUGGGAGGAUCAUGUGAGAUAAUGCAUGGGCAGUGCCUGGCACACAGUAAGUGCUCAAUAAAUACU
Homo sapiens (human) is the source of this 2126-nucleotide long non-coding RNA. Ensembl annotates it as LAMTOR5 and SLC16A4 antisense RNA 1. Its record names the gene LAMTOR5-AS1. The record is from Ensembl. Lineage: Eukaryota; Metazoa; Chordata; Mammalia; Primates; Hominidae.